CAAAGCGUAUGAUGCAAAAUAUUAUCACUUAUACUACACACCGAAAUAAAUGUGGACAAAAUCUCCGCUUAUUAUCUGAAGCUUUG
This is a small nucleolar RNA of Malus domestica (apple), 86 nucleotides long. RefSeq annotates it as small nucleolar RNA R16. NCBI's taxonomy places the organism in Eukaryota, Viridiplantae, Streptophyta, Magnoliopsida, Rosales, Rosaceae. The record is from RefSeq and is a predicted model, not a curated record.